Long non-coding RNA from Dendroctonus ponderosae (mountain pine beetle), 421 nucleotides. RefSeq lists it as uncharacterized. The record is from RefSeq and is a predicted model, not a curated record. The transcript is spliced from 3 exons. NCBI's taxonomy places the organism in Eukaryota, Metazoa, Arthropoda, Insecta, Coleoptera, Curculionidae.
AGUCGCGGUCAUUUGCGGUGCAGACAAUUCGGUUGAUUGCAAGGUGAUUAGGCGACGAUUCAGUUAACUGUUUUCUCAACAAAGGCCAAAUUUUCGGUAUAAAUUGACCAGGUUCGGCUUGAAAAUGCAUCAAUCAACUUCUCAGUUCAAACAGCCUAACAACAAACAGAAAAAUGCCUUUACCGUGUGAAUUUUGUAUUGAGGGAGAUUACUCCGAAAUCAAGUGCAACUGCUGUCCAAACUGCAAGUGUUUAGACGCAAAAUUCGUUUCGCUGUGCACCUGCGAGUCCAACAAAAAUUCUUUGAACUAGCAGGAUGAAAACUCCACUAGUCUGGAGUAUUUUUGGAAAACUGCGAAUGUUUCCUUGUUAGGUUAUAAUGCAUGUUAGGCCUUUUAAAUAAACUGCUUCUGAAAAUUAAA